This 253-nucleotide ribosomal RNA is filed under the name uncultured bacterium. Its description in RNAcentral is "partial 16S ribosomal RNA". It matches the Rfam family "Bacterial small subunit ribosomal RNA", at positions 524 to 776 of the family's 1533-position model. The record is from RNAcentral.
UACGUAGGGGGCAAGCGUUGUCCGGAUUCAUUGGGCGUAAAGAGCGUGUAGGCGGCCAGGUAGGUCGGUUGUGAAAACUGGAGGCUCAACCUUCAGAGGUCGACCGAAACCAUCUGGCUAGAGUCCGGGAGAGGAGAGUGGAAUUCCUGGUGUAGCGGUGAAAUGCGCAGAUAUCAGGAGGAACACCGGCGGUGUAGACGGCUUUCUGGUCUGUAACUGACGCUGAGGCGCGAAAGCGUGGGGAGCAAACAGG